UACAGAGGUCCCGAGCGUUGUUCGGAUUCACUGGGCGUAAAGGGUGCGUAGGUGGUGAGGUAAGUCGGAUGUGAAAUCUCCGGGCUCAACCCGGAAAUGGCAUUGGAAACUACCUUGCUUGAGGAUUUGAGGGGGGAUUGGAAUACUUGGUGUAGCAGUGAAAUGCGUAGAUAUCAAGUGGAACACCAGUGGCGAAGGCGAAUCCCUGGAAAAUACCUGACGCUCAGGUGCGAAAGCUAGGGGAGCGAACAGG
Molecule: ribosomal RNA, 253 nt
Filed under: uncultured bacterium
Lineage: Bacteria
Description: partial 16S ribosomal RNA
Rfam family: Bacterial small subunit ribosomal RNA
Source: RNAcentral